AGUGAACGCUGGCGGUAGGCCUAACACAUGCAAGUCGAACGGCAGCACAGUAAGAGCUUGCUCUUACGGGUGGCGAGUGGCGGACGGGUGAGGAAUACAUCGGAAUCUACUUUUUCGUGGGGGAUAACGUAGGGAAACUUACGCUAAUACCGCAUACGACCUACGGGUGAAAGCAGGGGAUCUUCGGACCUUGCGCGAUUGAAUGAGCCGAUGUCGGAUUAGCUAGUUGGCGGGGUAAAGGCCCACCAAGGCGACGAUCCGUAGCUGGUCUGAGAGGAUGAUCAGCCACACUGGAACUGAGACACGGUCCAGACUCCUACGGGAGGCAGCAGUGGGGAAUAUUGGACAAAGGGCGCAAGCCUGAUCCAGCCACACCGCGUGGGUGAAGAAGGCCCUCGGGUUGUAAAGCCCUUUUGUUGGGAAAGAAAAGCAGCAGGUUAAUACCCCGCUGUUCUGACGGUACCCAAAGAAUAAGCACCGGCUAACUUCGUG
Molecule: ribosomal RNA, 492 nt
Filed under: uncultured bacterium
Lineage: Bacteria
Description: partial 16S ribosomal RNA
Rfam family: Bacterial small subunit ribosomal RNA
Source: RNAcentral